UCUAACAUGUGCGCGAGUCAUUGGGAUUUUAAAGCCUAAAGGCGCAAUGAAAGUGAAGGUCGUCCCUAGCGUCGACCGAGGGAGGAUGGUUCGCGUCACGAUGCGAGCCCGCACUCCCGGGGCGUCUCGCGCUCAUUGCGAGCGGAGGCGCACCCAGAGCGUACACGUUGGGACCCGAAAGAUGGUGAACUAUGCCUGGUCAGGACGAAGUCAGGGGAAACCCUGAUGGAGGUCCGUAGCGAUUCUGACGUGCAAAUCGAUCGUCGGAACUGGGUAUAGGGGCGAAAGACUAAUCGAACCAUCUAGUAGCUGGUUCCCUCCGAAGUUUCCCUCAGGAUAGCUGGCACUCGCUUGAGCGAGUCUCAUCUGGUAAAGCGAAUGAUUAGAGGCCUUGGGGCCGAAACGACCUCAACCUAUUCUCAAACUUUAAAUGGGUGAGAUCUCUGGCUUGCUUGAACGUUGAAGCCAUGAGAGAUGGAUCAGAGUGCCAAGUGGGCCAAUUUUGGUAAGCANAACUGGCGCUGUGGGAUGAACCAAACGCCGAGUUAAGGCGCCUAAGUCGACGCUUAUGGGAUACCAUGAAAGGCGUUGGUUGCUUAAGACAGCAGGACGGUGGCCAUGGAAGUCNGAA
This 631-nucleotide ribosomal RNA is filed under the name Podagrion sp. PJAN1220. RNAcentral's name for it is "LSU rRNA". It matches the Rfam family "Eukaryotic large subunit ribosomal RNA", at positions 674 to 1266 of the family's 3401-position model. Lineage: Eukaryota; Metazoa; Arthropoda; Insecta; Hymenoptera; Torymidae. The record is from RNAcentral.